Molecule: ribosomal RNA, 253 nt
Filed under: uncultured bacterium
Lineage: Bacteria
Description: partial 16S ribosomal RNA
Rfam family: Bacterial small subunit ribosomal RNA
Source: RNAcentral
UACGGGGGGGGCAAGCGUUGUUCGGAAUUACUGGGCGUAAAGGGCUCGUAGGUGGCCGACUAAGUCGGACGUGAAAUCCCUCGGCUUAACCGGGGAACUGCGUCCGAUACUGGUUGGCUUGAGUUCGGGAGAGGGAUGCGGAAUUCCAGGUGUAGCGGUGAAAUGCGUAGAUAUCUGGAGGAACACCGGUGGCGAAGGCGGAUCUCUGGGCCAUUACUGACGCUGAGGAGCGAAAGCGUGGGGAGCGAACAGG